GCUAUAGGGGGACGCAGGAAGGUAGAUGAACCCGGUGAAUGGUAGAACCGGGGUAAGCGUGUAGGAGGAGGACCAGGCAAAUCCGGGCCUCACAUACUCUGAGACGUGAUACCGAGCCGCUUCAGGCGAAGUCAUUAAUCCUAUGCUGCCUAGAAAAGCCCAGUAGCGAGUUGACAUGGUGCCCGUACCCCAAACCAACACAGGUGGACAGGUAGAGCAUACCAAGGCGAGUGGGAUAACUAUGGUUAAGGAACUCGGCAAAUUUCCUCCGUAACUUCGGGAUAAGGAGGACCCCGGUAGCGUGACGAGACUUGCUCUCCGAGCGUGAAGGGGUGGCACAAAAUUGAGGGAAGCGACUGUUUACCAAAAACACAGCAGCGUGCUAAGCCGUAAGGCGCUGUAUACGCUGUGACUCCUGCCCGGUGCUGGAAGGUUACGGGGAUGGGUUAGUCCUUCGGGACGAAGCUCUGAACCUAAGCCCCAGUAAACGGCGGCCGUAACUAUAACGGUCCUAAGGUAGCGAAAUUCCUUGUCGGGUAAGUUCCGACCUGCACGAAUGGAGUAACGACUUCCCUACUGUCUCAACCAUAGACCCAGCGAAAUUAAAGUACGAGUAAAGAUGCUCGUUAGCUGCAGAAGGACGGAAAGACCCCGUGGACCUUUACUAUAACUUGAUGUUGUGUUUUGUCAUAUGUUGUGUAGGAUAGGUGGGAGACAAGGAAGCAUGGACGCUAGUCUGUGUGGAGUCAUCGUUGAAAUACCACCCUGCAUAUGGUGAGGCUCUAACCUAGACCCGUUAUCCGGGUUGGGGACAGCGUCAGGCGGGUAGUUUAACUGGGGCGGUUGCCUCCUAAAGAGUAACGGAGGCGCCCAAAGGUUCCCUCAGCCUGGUUGGCAAUCAGGCGUCGAGUGCAAUGGCAAAAGGGAGCUUGACUGCGAGACCUACAAGUCGAGCAGGAGCGAAAGCUGGGCAUAGUGAUCCGGCGGUUGCGUGUGGUAGCGCCGUCGCUCAACGGAUAAAAGGUACCCCGGGGAUAACAGGCUAAUCUUGCCCAAGCGUCCAUAGCGACGGCAAGGUUUGGCACCUCGAUGUCGGCUCAUCGCAUCCUGGGGCUGAAGCAGGUCCCAAGGGUUGGGCUGUUCGCCCAUUAAAGCGGUACGCGAGCUGGGUUCAGAACGUCGUGAGACAGUUCGGUCCCUAUCCUCUGUAGCCGUAGGUGAAUUGAGGAAAGCUGUCCCUAGUACGAGAGGACCGGGACGGACGCAGCUCUCGUGUGCCAGUUGUCCUGCCAAGGGCAUGGCUGGUUAGCGACCUGCGGAAAGGAUAACCGCUGAAAGCAUCUAAGCGGGAAGCCUCUUCCAAGAUGAAUUCACCCACAGGGUUAACCUGGUAAGGCCCGUGGUAGACCACCACGUUGAUAGGCCGGAAGUGUAAGCGUGGCAACACGUUCAGCUGACCGGUACUAAUCGGCCGAGGGCUUGAAUUC
This 1487-nucleotide ribosomal RNA is filed under the name metagenome. RNAcentral's name for it is "bacterial LSU rRNA". It matches the Rfam family "Bacterial large subunit ribosomal RNA", at positions 1461 to 2925 of the family's 2925-position model. The record is from RNAcentral.